UGUAAGCCAGGUCGGUUUUUAUCCUAAGAAUCAUAAUGAUUAUAUUAGUACGAAAGGACCAUAUAAUUGAAAUAAUUUUUAUUAUCUGAUUUAAAUUAAUUGUUU
This 105-nucleotide ribosomal RNA is filed under the name Oedipoda caerulescens. RNAcentral's name for it is "partial 16S ribosomal RNA". The record is from RNAcentral. Lineage: Eukaryota; Metazoa; Arthropoda; Insecta; Orthoptera; Acrididae.